AUAAUAUCUUUCAAUCAGGGUGUAGACAAAUUACGCAUGUUACUAUAUAGAGUAAUAAAGGAACAGUUAUUCAAAGACAAGAGUUUUUUCUUCUACGCUUGUUGGUGUGUUCUGUGUGUUGGACGGUGUUGUUGUUCUCACACCAUGUACUGCCACGACUCCAUGAUGCUGCACAGCAUUAUAUGUUUACAUGUGCCCUACAUUGUGUGUGUGUGUGUGUGUGUGUGUGUGUGUGUGUGUGUGUGUGUGUGUGUGUGUGUGUGUGUGUGUGUGUGUGUGUGUGUGUAGAGAGAGAGAGAGAGAGAGAGAGAGAGAGAGAGAGAGAGAGAGAGAGAGAGAGAGAGAGAGAGAGAGAGAGAGAGAGAGAGAGAGAGAGAAAGGGGCGGUUUAUUGAGGUGUGCGUGCCGUCAUGAUGACAGACAGUGAUUGCGAGGGUUCGGGUGAGGUGACUGGAGCUGGAGGCGCCCGGACAGAUGAGGUGACCAGUCCGGAUAUUCCCACUUAGUGACGAGAGGAAUGGUGGGGAUAGGGAGUGACCUAUACACCCACCCACACACACACACACACACACUUUAAAGCUGCAGUCUUGUAAACUUAUCAUCACCAUUAUUAUUAUUGUUAUUAUUAUUCUUAUUAUUAUCAUUAUUAUCAUUAUUAUUAUUAUUAUCAUUACUGUUGCCGCCAAGCGGGUGGAAGAAGUUGUUGUUGUGCAAGCGAGUUUGUCAAUGAGGAAGGAAAGGACCUGGAGGUCAGGGCGAGGACCAAGACGAGGCCUAAGUCAGCGAAUUCUUGUACGGUCGGUGUUGAGGUAGUGUUGAUGGAAGGAGAUGAAGGAUGCUUGUUAUGACAGGAAGCUAAGAUGAUGCCGGCCUUAUCACCGUCGCUGAAGGAUAACGAGGGACACUUUGCUAAGGACACUCGUGCAGGGAGGACGUGUGUUGCUGCAGAGACAGAAGUAGAUAGAUCUACCUAAAGCACCUGUCAGAAAAGGCGUGCGCGUUACUUAACGAUUACCUCAAGACCCAAACACGUUUUGACCAAAUUCAAGCGGAUUCAAUCGGACUCAAUAAACGAUUCGUGUCAUCGUGUGGGUCUGAAACAACCUUCGCCGCCUGCUGGAGAUAAUAAUUACUAUCAUCAUCAUUAAACACAAAGACCAUAGAGCUUCAGAUGUUAUGCGCCGAGAAUACAAAAUAAUCUGUGAUUAACCUCUGUUUCUACGCCUUCCAAAGUAUUGAUCGCUCUGGCAUGACUACGAAUUCUCUUCCUUUGUGUCUUUGAAAUUUAAAAUUACUCUUUGUUUGUGAAAUUAAAAAGAAAGCAAAAUUGUUUAUGAAAUUCUUCAAACCUUACCAACACUUUGUUAUCGUCUGACACUUCAUCUUCAUGAUGGUGCUUAGUCUCCAUGACCAUGACUGGAGCAAUCCAGGCUCACGUCUCGCCAGUGACAGGUCGAAACCAAUGCGCACCGACCUUGUUGUGGUGAUGAUUUAACAAGCCAUUAGUGGUCCCUGUUACGGCUGGUCUGCGAGGCUCAGCCAGUCAUCUCAUGUCGCCGCCACAAGGUUUCUGGCAGGAUGAUACAUGACAUUUUUUCAACUUUUUUUUUUU
This is a long non-coding RNA of Scylla paramamosain (green mud crab), 1611 nucleotides long. RefSeq lists it as uncharacterized. Lineage: Eukaryota; Metazoa; Arthropoda; Malacostraca; Decapoda; Portunidae. The record is from RefSeq and is a predicted model, not a curated record. The transcript has 2 exons.